CACGUAGGGGGCGAGCGUUGUCCGGAUUUAUUGGGCGUAAAGCGCUCGUAGGCGGCUCGGUAAGUCAGGUGUGAAACCUCCAGGCUCAACCUGGAGACGCCACCUGAUACUGCCGUGGCUAGAGUCCGGUAGAGGAGCGUAGAAUUCCUGGUGUAGCGGUGAAAUGCGCAGAUAUCAGGAGGAAUACCAGCGGCGAAGGCGGCGCUCUGGGCCGGUACUGACGCUGAGGAGCGAAAGCGUGGGGAGCAAACAGG
RNAcentral lists this ribosomal RNA (254 nucleotides) under uncultured bacterium. RNAcentral describes it as "partial 16S ribosomal RNA". It matches the Rfam family "Bacterial small subunit ribosomal RNA", at positions 524 to 776 of the family's 1533-position model. The record is from RNAcentral.